Cucumis melo (muskmelon) is the source of this 1359-nucleotide long non-coding RNA. RefSeq lists it as uncharacterized. The record is from RefSeq and is a predicted model, not a curated record. The transcript is spliced from 2 exons. NCBI's taxonomy places the organism in Eukaryota, Viridiplantae, Streptophyta, Magnoliopsida, Cucurbitales, Cucurbitaceae.
UUUAUUUUCCUCCUUUUUCCUUGUGCAGAUUGCAGAAUAUAUAGAUUUUGUCCUGUUCAAAUCUUUCUUUAUUUUUUAAUAGGGACUGUCACAAUUUCUUGGGAUUGCCAAGCACAUUACCCUUUACCUUUUAUUAUGUAUAUAUAUUCUACGAUCAUCUUCAUGCUUUGCACAAAAAAGUUGUAACCCUAGACAUCUGAGUCCCUAUAUACCUCAUCUAUUUUGAAGCUGAGCUUUUUGCUUUUUCUUUUUGCUAGAGAGCCUAGGGAUUACAUCGUGCAAAGUAUUUCCAUCAUCAUGGGUUUGACAAUGGCAUGAUUUGAUAUUACAAAAAACGAUGUAUUUUGGGGAUCUGUGUGAUGUUUAUCUUGGUACUUUGAAGUUUGGAGCCCUUGAGAGGAAAUGGCAAAAAAAAAAGAAUCAUUGACUUUAAAGUUUGAUGCAUUACUAAUUUCACGGAUGGUUAGAAGCAUCCAUCUUGUACUGCGCUUGUGUGGAACAGUUUCUUUAACUGUUUCAUACUUGUCUAGAUUGUUCAUGCAUUUGUACAUCUUGUACUGUUGACCAUGUUUACAGUUGAAACAUUUCUUUAGAUGUUCAUUCAAAACUUCAACAGCACUUCAAAUCAGUUCCUCCUCUGUCUUUCUUUCUUUCUAUCUUUUUUACCCUAAUUAUUUUAUUUUUUUGUCAUGUUUGUCAGUUUGUUGGGAAAAAAAUAGGUCAUUUUCCCAAGGUAGGAUGAGAGUCCCACUUGAGAAUCUUGGGCACAAGUCACAAUAUCAUUAUUCUUUCUUGAAUUCAAGCCUACUGUGGAAACUUGUCUUAUUAUCGAUGGUAAUUGAAGGAAUGAUGAGCUCUAAUGCCAAUUGCUUAACACGUUUUAAUUUCUGUAAUUUGACAGGCAAAAGUGGAUGAAUGAAUCUGAGAUAACAAGCUUAAUUUGUGUACAGCAAAAAGGCUCAUGGAAUCCGUUCAAUGGCAAUGGAUAUGGACAGCUGAUCUGAAUUGGAGGGAAACUGCUUCUGACCAGUUGUUAACUGCCCACAUUCAGGUAAGAAUAUCAACGCACUACGAAACGAUAAGUCCACUCAAAUACAUUGAAGAAUACUUGUGUGUUAGUACACUUUGAAUUUUCCUACACAUUGCUAUGGUAUCCAACGUCUUUGACAUGAUAUGACUAUUCCAACAUGGAAGCUAAGUGUGUUGGUCACGACGGUUGAAGAUCACAGUGGUAGACAUUCCUUCUUCAUCCACUAACAAAGCUUAUCCAAAUUUUUCAUUCAUAUAUAUCGGUUAACUUUUGUUGUUUACCUCCACUCUUUCUUUUUAUAUAAUGCUAUAAUAGUGCAAAUUUUUCUA